Molecule: long non-coding RNA, 358 nt
Filed under: Hordeum vulgare
Lineage: Eukaryota; Viridiplantae; Streptophyta; Magnoliopsida; Poales; Poaceae
Description: long non-coding RNA (HVUL_LNC010756)
Source: RNAcentral
GUGGUGGCGGCGCGCGGUGACAUGGCAUGGGGCGGCGGCGUGCGGCGACAUGGCAGGGGCGGCGGCGCGCUAUAGGUGGAGAUGAGGUAAGGUCGUGGGUCGUCUGGGCGGAAUUUUCUUUCUCGCCCGUACCGGUUCAUGUUGACUGAACAAUAUGACUGCGGGUUGAUUUCGAUAAAACACAAGGACGUUUUUGCAAAAACACCACGACGACAGAAGCACUCCGUGCUUUAUUUUUAGAAAGAGAUAAUAAAGACCUAGGAAAUAUAGAAUCAAUUGGCAAUAUAAGUACCAACCAGUUGCCAAAUUACUGUAAAGAAAAGCUGUUGCUGCUGAAAUAAAACCUACUCCACUAAAA